UGUGCCUACGGGAGGCAGCAGUGAGGAAUAUUGGUCAAUGGGCGGGAGCCUGAACCAGCCAAGUCGCGUGAGGGAAGACGGUCCUAUGGAUUGUAAACCUCUUUAGGCGGGGAGCAAUGCCGGGCACGCGUGCCCGGAGGGAGAGUACCCGCAGAAUAAGCAUCGGCUAACUCCGUGCCAGCAGCCGCGGUAAUACGGAGGAUGCGAGCGUUAUCCGGAUUUAUUGGGUUUAAAGGGUGCGUAGGCGGCCUGUUAAGUUAGUGGUUAAA
This 269-nucleotide ribosomal RNA is filed under the name uncultured bacterium. RNAcentral describes it as "partial 16S ribosomal RNA". It matches the Rfam family "Bacterial small subunit ribosomal RNA", at positions 334 to 599 of the family's 1533-position model. The record is from RNAcentral.